This 543-nucleotide ribosomal RNA is filed under the name Rhodotorula mucilaginosa. RNAcentral's name for it is "eukaryotic LSU rRNA". It matches the Rfam family "Eukaryotic large subunit ribosomal RNA", at positions 73 to 633 of the family's 3401-position model. Lineage: Eukaryota; Fungi; Basidiomycota; Microbotryomycetes; Sporidiobolales; Sporidiobolaceae. The record is from RNAcentral.
GAUUCCCUAGUAGCGGCGAGCGAAGCGGGAAGAGCUCAAAUUUAUAAUCUGGCACCUUCGGUGUCCGAGUUGUAAUCUCUAGAAAUGUUUUCCGCGUUGGACCGCACACAAGUCUGUUGGAAUACAGCGGCAUAGUGGUGAGACCCCCGUAUAUGGUGCGGACGCCCAGCGCUUUGUGAUACAUUUUCGAAGAGUCGAGUUGUUUGGGAAUGCAGCUCAAAUUGGGUGGUAAAUUCCAUCUAAAGCUAAAUAUUGGCGAGAGACCGAUAGCGAACAAGUACCGUGAGGGAAAGAUGAAAAGCACUUUGGAAAGAGAGUUAACAGUACGUGAAAUUGUUGGAAGGGAAACGCUUGAAGUCAGACUUGCUUGCCGAGCAAUCGGUUUGCAGGCCAGCAUCAGUUUUCCGGGAUGGAUAAUGGUAGAGAGAAGGUAGCAGUUUCGGCUGUGUUAUAGCUCUCUGCUGGAUACAUCUUGGGGGACUGAGGAACGCAGUGUGCCUUUGGCGGGGGUUUCGACCUCUUCACACUUAGGAUGCUGGUGGA